RNAcentral lists this ribosomal RNA (497 nucleotides) under uncultured bacterium. Its description in RNAcentral is "partial 16S ribosomal RNA". It matches the Rfam family "Bacterial small subunit ribosomal RNA", at positions 28 to 507 of the family's 1533-position model. The record is from RNAcentral.
GAUGAACGCUGGCGGCGUGCCUAAUACAUGCAAGUCGAGCGAACGGACGAGAAGCUUGCUGCUCUGAUGUUAGCGGCGGACGUGUGAGUAACACGUGUAUAACCUACCUAUAAUACUGGGAUAACUUCGGGAAACCGGAGCUAAUACCGGAGAAUAUUUUGAACCGCAUGGUUCAAAAGUGAAAGACGGUCUUUCGGUCACUUAUAGAUGGAUCCGCGCUGCAUUAGCUAGUUGGUAAGGUAACGGCUUACCAAGGCAACGAUGCAUAGCCGACCGGAGAGGGGGAUAGGCGACACUGGAGGUGAACCACGGUCAAGAGGACUAAGGGAGGGAGCAGUAGGGAACCUGACGCAGUGGUCGGAAACAUUACGGAGUAACGCGGAGUGAGAGAUAAAGAUCUUCGGAGCGUAAAAAUGUGUUAUGAGGGAAGAACAUAUGUGUAAGUAACUGUGCACAUCUUGACGGUAACGAAUAAGAAAGCAACGGCUAACUACGUG